UCUGCCAGCUCUUCUAGUUGGUAGCUCUCUUAGGAAGCGAUAGCUGAAACUCGUUUGACAGCUUUUCGGUUCCCAUGCAGCAGCCGCAGCAGCUGAGGAUCUUCUAAUCUAAUGCCCGCCUAAUGCCUAAGCAACCCUGUCAAAAAAAAUUAUUAUUUGAAAAUUUUGUGUGAACCUCAACGAACGACAAAACUUGUUAAAAAGGGUGAAAAAGGUGAGGUGUUUUGUGUGCUACGGUCAGGAACAAGUUUGAAGACAUCAAAAGGCUGCCAAGAUCUUCCUUUAUAUUAAUUGUCACACCAAACAAAAGAAAUUUUGAGCUAGAAAAAUCUAUUUCGCUCUAAGCGAGAAAACGGGUUGCUCGAUCCAAAAGGACUCGCAGCUUUGCAGCUUUCGCAUCGCCACUGAUCAGUUUCAUUUUGCCAGCGAACGCGUCGUGAUCGUAAUGGAAAAGCGCAAAUUUUCAACUAGAUAAUGUGUGCCACGCAAUCAAUUGGGAAAAUCGGAAAAUGGGAAAUCUUUGCUGAUGACUAGCUGGCUGGCGGGCUGGUUGACUGGAUGGAACGAUCUCCCGGUGCACUGCCAAGCGCUGCAACAUCUAUCUGUAUCCAAGGAGGCAACACUGCAAUCAAUAACGUAUAUAAGGCUCAAGUACUGUAUCAAUAUCGAGAAGAGAAAUAUAUAUAGUGCAAAUACAAGCGCAUAUCCUUGACAUUACACAGGCGAAACGGUUUCAAAAUGACGUAAAUUAUUUCAUUAGUUGAAGCGAGAGGCAAAAUGGAUGCUGGACUCGACUUGGCGCUGUUUGCUGUUCACUUUUUUUUCUCAUUUUGUGCACUGUUUUAAUCAGCAAAAGGCAUUCAUCUUGUUUGCCAAACUAAUUUUUUAUCUUGCCAGUUGCCAGUCGCCAGUCGCAGCUGCAGCUUCAGCACUCGGCAGCUGGCCACAGGGGAGCGGAGGAUGUAGUCUGUUCCCGGCGCGUCUUUCAAGCAGCGGGACAAGGAGUUAUAUAUGUGCUUAUCUAGUAUGUAUGAUGUGGUAGCGCACGCUGGUCCCCGAAGAAAUGCACAGAGCCAUGUACAAGCAAACCUUACCACACACACUAUGCAAAAAUAAAACAACAACAAAAACAAAAAAUACCAAAAAAAAAAAACAAAGGGAAGCUGCCAAGUAAAUGGCAAAAACUUUUAACGCCCUCGUCCUGGGCAGCUGCAGCAGCUGCGGACUGCUGCCCGCCUUCCAUUCGCACUCGCAUUUAUUAUACUAACAGUAAAAAAUUACUUUUGCCUGCUAAAAACCCAGCCAGGACGAGCGUUUCCAAGGGAAUUGCACGGCAGUCAGCCGUGGCAGCAAUGCUGGCAAAUGGAAAAAGGACAUUCGUUAUGCUUAAGCAGAAGAAUACGAAACUGUACUUGACAGCAGACGCCCAGAGCACAGAGCAUCGCUCCCACUCUGCCAGCAGCCAGCUAAACUAAUAGCACAAGCGAGCACCGUAUACUCGUAUAUAUUUUAUAUACCUAUACCUACAUUUAUAUAUAUACACACAUAUAUAUAUAUGUAAGUAAGCAAGAACAAAUAAAAGCAAAGGGAAAAAAACCAGAGCAAUGGCCAACUGCAGGAAGCAAGCAGCUUCUUGGCCAGCCAAAGGGUUUGUCCUUGUCUGUUCGCCUGGGUGUUUGUAUGUGUGUGUGUGAGAGCUCUGUUGCCAGCUCGUUGGCUGCUUGGCUGAGGGGUUGUUUGUUGCUGGGCUAAAGUAAAAUGGCGUCGCCUUAAUUUAUUUUAAGUGGUUGAUGGUUUUAACUUGCAGCAGGCAAAAGAAAAUGCUUUUAAAGCUCACUUUUUGCUGCGCUUAGAUGAAGCUGGGCUAACUGGAGUGUUGGGCAUGGAAGAACUCUCGACGGUCGGUCCGACCACAGCACUGCAAACGUGCAACCGAAGCUGUCCCAUUAUGCUGUAGGGCAGGCAGUCCACUAGCCAGGCAACCUGCCAGCCUGGCUUUGUCUUUUCUAUAAACCAUUAUGCAAAUAGCCUCACUGGUUACCCAAAAAAGAAGCAACUCGACCCGAGUACAAGUCAAAUUUAUAGCCGACUUAACAAUUUGCACAACUUUGCUGGAGCCAGGGCCACAGACAGAGCCAAUGCCGCCGGCUGCAGCAAAGCAAACCCAAACGCAAGCUACAGGAGAAAUCUCGAAAAAUUGCAAAAACGAUUAAAUAUAGGCAAGCAGCAGCAGCAACAACAACCACAACAACAACAAUGCCCAGCUGAAGCCCCACACGGACCUGAAAUGAAAGCAAACGAAUACAAAUUAAAAUCGUCCCCUUAAGUUGGCUGGCUGCUCGGUGGCGCCAUAAAAAGUAUGCGCCUGCUCAGCCAGACAAUCCAGUUCAGUUCAGUUCAGCUCAGCCCAAGCCGAAGCCCAAGUCCGACCUGGCCAGGCCAGUCUAGGCCAGUCCAGCCCAGUCCAGCCCAGUCCAGUUUGUGCCGAGCCCAUUCAAAGCCAGCCCAGCCGCCCAUUUCUUCUACGGCAUCGACCGCUUUAUGCAUAGGGGAGUCAUUAUAUUGAAUUGAACGUAAAAGCGCAGAUAAAAUGUGCAACAAAAGGACCAGCAGCAGGACGCAGCCAAGCCAAGUAUGUUGACUCGCAAUCUCGUUGGCCCGAUGCAGUUAAGUGGACCAGCCCCAGCAACAGCCCCAGCACCAGCAUGAACACCAACAGACGCCAUCGUCAACCUCGCUCGUUGCUAGUCGAAAAGCCAGUAAAGCAAUUGAGGCCUCAGACACUUAAAAUGUAAGCCAAAGGCCGCCCCUGUAGAUGUCUAUGUGUGUGGCUGUGUGUGUGUAUGUAAGUUUGCCCAGUGUUCAUAGCUGUCAGCUAUAAGACACACGCCUGAGCGCCCAGCAGCUGCGAUUGAGUUGCCUGCCUUGGCAGACAGCCUAGGCCAGACGAUAGGCAGGCGACAGAAAGGAUAACUGGAUAACUCCAUGUAUGUCUGGCACAUGUGUGAAGAGCCCAAAUGCUCGUCAAUAGGGUGACUCAGUAUAAAUUUAAUUUUUAAAAAUUAGUAUAGGAUGGAAAAACUGAAUUCAUUUCAUAAAUGUUUAUAAAUUAAAAUUAAAUUUUCAGUUAUCUGUGACAAGCUUUCUAAUCUUUUAAAAUAACUAUAAUAUAUUUGGUCAUGUUAUAAAUUCAUAAUUUAAAUAAUUUGUAAGCUACAAUUGAACUUUUA
This is a long non-coding RNA of Drosophila mojavensis, 3230 nucleotides long. RefSeq lists it as uncharacterized. The transcript has 3 exons. The record is from RefSeq and is a predicted model, not a curated record. NCBI's taxonomy places the organism in Eukaryota, Metazoa, Arthropoda, Insecta, Diptera, Drosophilidae.